CCACAUUUAAAACAAAUAUCCAUAUUGAAUUCAAUAUCCCUUAAUCUAACUACACAAUUUCACAUUCAUUUCUCAUAAAGCAUUUAACCACUUUUAAUACAAUAAAAUCACUCAUUACAUUCAAUUUCAACCAUUCUAAUUCCAUAGCAUUUAACCAAUUUUAAUACAAUUCAAUUUCCCAUACAUUCAAUUUCAAAUUUGCAACAUUUCUUACAAUCAUUUAAAUCCUACAUUACCACAAUCUUGAAUCCUAAAAUUGCAUAGAGAUCAAAAGCAUUCCAAAAAUCCAUAAAUUCUGGGUUAGCUCAUGCACUCCAAACGGUCCAAGCAAGCCAUUCAUAAGGCAUAACAGUCCAUUAGCCGCACAUCUCAUUCACCUUCAUUUCAAGCUUAAUCAAAACCAGAUGAAAAGCCGAAACAGCAACGAACCAAAGUCGGAAUCUUGGAUUUUUACCCACGGUGCAAUGCAGCCCAACGGAAUCACUUCACCAAAACCAGGAACAAAACUACAAUCUGAAAUGGAAAAGCCACGAUGUUGCAAUACAAAAUGCAGGCCACGUAAGCUACAACGCAAGCUAGGGCGAAGCAAAACGAAAACAACAAUCAAUACGCAACAACAAAUCAAAAACAGCUCCAAUAGCAUAAAGGAGAAAACCUGCAAAAAGAGAAACAACAGAAAGUCACUCUCCAACUAACAAGAACCUUCCAAAAAGCUAGAUCCUAACUGUGAUAAUGGAUGGUGAUAACGAACUAUGAUAACGGAAAUCACAAUGACUAACUUUCGACGCUUACCCUUUAAUCCCUUUUGGAACUCCUAACUUCUUUAACCUCUAAGAUCAUCCGUAACCACUGCUUCAAUAAAACUUCUUGCACAAGAGAAAACAAAACACACCAGAGUCGGUUAACUUUACAACAGAAGUUUAUAACAUAAUUUUUCUAACCAUUUUCCACACCUGAAGCCAAUCUUAACUGAACCAAAAAACCAACAGAAAUAGAGGCCAAUUGAUAACAACCUAAUAGAACCAACAAACAGAAUUAACCAAAAUUCUAACUGUCCAACAAACUUCAAAAUUAAUAUAACAGAAAACCCAAAACAAAAAUAAUAAGAAAUAGAGAAAAAACCUAUAAUGAGAUCAUCGCGACUUCAUCUUCGAACCACUAUUCAAGAACCGACAUCAAGAACUUCCAGUUGAACCAAAACUCUACAACUCCUAACCAACUUUCCAACAAACCUUCUCCAAUCCCCAUAAUAGAAGGAACCUUCAAAUAACUUCCAUAAACUCCAUCUGCUUUCAUAACAAAACUUUCUUUCAAAAAAUUCUCAACCAACCGAUAUAACAGAAUAACCCCUAUAACUGUUUAUAACUAACUGGCUAACAGGACCCUUCAACCGACUCUCUUCCUCCAAUUUCUAGCGAACCCUUCACUUAACCAAACAUGAAAAAAAACUCUAAAAACCUGGAAGCAUUCUUCAAAAAAAGAAAACCCUUAUAACAGGAAGGCUCUCCUGUGAUCUUCAAGGAGUUUUUUCAUUCACAACACCAAACCCACACAGAACCUGCAACUUGCAUAAGAGAACCAACUUCACUCCAUCUCCAUUUUCAGAACGGACCCUCCUUUCAACCUCUUCAUCACCCUCCACCGUCUCACAAUCUCUUGACAAAAACCUUUCCAUCAUUCGUUCAACAUCUUCAACCCUCAACUGUUCUAACCACCAAAAACCCUUAACUGCAACAACCUCGCCACGAUUCAACGUUUGAUUCCUACCACAAUCCUUCGAUAACCCUCCCUGAACAUACAACUCCAUCUCUAAACCACCCUUCAUCACUCGCAACAAACUGAACAUAGCGACAUCAACAACCAGAGGAAAACAGAAUCAAGAAAU
RNAcentral lists this long non-coding RNA (1885 nucleotides) under Lathyrus oleraceus (garden pea). RNAcentral's name for it is "Pisum sativum (pea) long non-coding RNA (PSAT_LNC010175)". Lineage: Eukaryota; Viridiplantae; Streptophyta; Magnoliopsida; Fabales; Fabaceae. The record is from RNAcentral.